UACGGGAGGCAGCAGUGGGGAAUAUUGCACAAUGGGCGAAAGCCUGAUGCAGCUAUGCCGCGUGUAUGAAGAAGGCCUUAGGGUUGUAAAGUACUUUCAUCGGGGAGGAAAAACAAAACUAAUAAUUUUAUUUCUUGACGUUACCCGAAAAAGAAGCACCGGCUAACUCCGUGCCAGCAGCCGCGGUAAUACGGAGGGUGCUAGCGUUAAUCAGAAUUACUGGGCGUAAAGAGCACGUAGGUGGUUUUUUUAAGUCAGAUGUGAAAUUCCUGGGCUUAACCUAGGAACUGCAUUUUGAAACUGAAAUACUAGAGUAUCGUAGAGGGAGGUAGAAUUCUAGGUGUAGCGGUGAAAUGCGUAGAUAUCUGGAGGAAUACCUGUGGCGAAAGCGGCCUCCUAAACGAAUACUGACACUGAGGUGCGAAAGCGUGGGGAGCAAACAGGGAUUAGAUACCCGU
Molecule: ribosomal RNA, 458 nt
Filed under: uncultured bacterium
Lineage: Bacteria
Description: bacterial SSU rRNA
Rfam family: Bacterial small subunit ribosomal RNA
Source: RNAcentral